Populus trichocarpa (black cottonwood) is the source of this 155-nucleotide non-coding RNA. NCBI's taxonomy places the organism in Eukaryota, Viridiplantae, Streptophyta, Magnoliopsida, Malpighiales, Salicaceae. The record is from Rfam.
UCUAGAACUCGAGAUAUGGGCUGAACACUGAACAGUGUCUGGGUUGAGGACAGAUUUUGACUUUUCUGUUGUUGCUACAAUUUGAACUUGAAAACGAUCCUUUUGAAUCUUGAACUCUUCAUGAACGUUUUAGGCCUAUGUUUUAGCUUUCUAGC